AGCUUUGCUAGGCGGCAGUAUCAUAGCCAGUGAAGUUUAUCUGAGGCGUGAUUAUUGCUAAUCAAAAUGGAAAAACUUACAAAUUGGAAAAGUUCAGAAAACUUGUCAGACUCUCCCAGGAGU
This is a small nuclear RNA of Cavia porcellus (domestic guinea pig), 123 nucleotides long. Its record names the gene U4. It matches the Rfam family "U4 spliceosomal RNA". From Rfam's summary of the family: U4 small nuclear RNA (U4 snRNA) is a component of the major U2-dependent spliceosome. The structure of U4 snRNA from yeast and human has been reported. The record is from Ensembl. NCBI's taxonomy places the organism in Eukaryota, Metazoa, Chordata, Mammalia, Rodentia, Caviidae.